This is a non-coding RNA of Meleagris gallopavo (turkey), 11615 nucleotides long. The record is from RefSeq and is a predicted model, not a curated record. NCBI's taxonomy places the organism in Eukaryota, Metazoa, Chordata, Aves, Galliformes, Phasianidae.
CUCAUCUCCUGCCCUUUCUCAGCUCCCCUGAGCACCUCCAUCCUUUGCACCAUCCUCACAGAAUUCCCACUCCUGUCCCAGAGGACGUAUUCUGUAAUCACAUCAGCUUCAAAGAAUGUUAAGGGAAAACUGAAAAGCUUUCUAAUAAUGAAUAAACCUAGGGGGAUUACGUGCCCUGACCCAUCUAGAAAUGAUACGUGAGCAGACUGAAAAUGCAAACUAAUACAUUAAAGAGAGAGACUGGGAGAGGAUUUAUCAGCCCAGCUCUGUGUCCUGCCCUUGUCUGUGCCUGGCAGAGAUGUUUCAGAUCGAAGUGGAAGAAACCCCAUGAAAAAUUCCUAUUGUUUGUAUUGGCCCUGCUAUGGGAGGAUCCCUUUUACCUCGGCUCGUGGUGAUGCCCAGCACCCCUUAGCAUCUUGGCUUCUGUCUCUUAUCAUGUCAGUUUGUAUCUAACCUAAUUUGGGGGUGGAGAGCCUCCUUAAAGCCAUGUGUUUUUAUGAUUAUAGCAAUUCCCCCAUCAACUCUCUCCUUACUUUUUUUCUCAUGCCCCUCCUAUCUCACCCUCCCAAGUGUAAAAACCCCUUUGUGCCUUUCACAACCAGCUUUGGGCAGACAUUAAUCCUGUCUGUCUGUCCCAAGGGGAAGUGGCUAGCACCAAAAUUAGAGCCCAGCUCUAUUCCGUGAGGGUAUUUUUGCAUAGAUCUUCUGUGGUUUCUCAUCUCCGUGACCGACACAACCAGCUCAGAGCGCUGAGCCAGCAUUUCCUCAUCUGCCCAGCACAGCCUCGGGGUCUUGCUGUAUUUUUCUAAUUCAAAACCCACCAAAGUGCACGAAAAUCUCAAGCUACACCCUCUCACACACAUUGCUUUUCACUGCUCAGAGUUUCAAUUAACCUGUCGGCGGGCUUUUCAUUAGCGUGCCUUCGUUAAGUCCCCAUGCAGCCUCCCUGGCCUCAGCCAGCAGAUAUUACUCUCUGCUCUCUGUAAAAAUUUUCCACUUGACUGUUUGCCCUUUCCCCUGCAUCGUUAACAAAAGAUUUCAUCCUAAAAUGGACUCUCAGGGAUGUCCUAUUAUUAUAUUAUUUAUAUGUCGAGAAUGAACUCUUGAUUCCAUUUCUUCUUUUCUCCAUCUUAAUAAGCUUUUAAUACAGUGCGGAAGCCAGACAAUCCCCCCUUGGCAAUUGAGUUUUCUUAAAAGCCUCUUUGAUGGUCUUUAUCAAAAAGCACUCAGGAAAAUGUAUUAACUGCUCUCCAUUAUCCACUAUUUUGUUGACUUAUCAUAAGAUGAAUACUUUUGCCCUGUAUAUUAGGAGCAUGCAGAUGGUUUUUAACUCUGCCUUUAGUAAUUAUUUCAAUUUGCUUGCUGCAUACCACAUCAGUUCCAGUUCCUGAAUGGAUCCUUGCAAACAUGUUCAGUUGUAUUUGCUGAAAAAAUGCAGGUGAUAAUUAAAACUAGUUGCAAAUACAUCAAAAAUACAGGAAAUAACACUGAAAAAAUACUUUUUCUGACAUGUGAAAAUGUAUUUCCUUCUGCAGCUUUAAAUGAAAUACUGUUAUUCUCUUCUCAAACAAUAUAUCCAGAUUAAGCGUAAUUUUAACCUGAUUCCCACAUUGCGUUAAUGUGUUUCUAGGGAAAAUUUCUUUCCAAUGGCAACCAGUUCAAGCCAGAGAGGGAGAGAUGUCUCUUUUCAGUCUGAUCUUCUUCUGUGAUGAAACCAAAUGACACCAUUUGGGGCUUUCCCAUAGAUAUUGAUCUUCUCCUCAAAAAGCACAAAAAUGUCUGGUUGUACCCUCCUACAGCUUUUUAGGGAUAAAACCAUUGGCUGUUCUCCAGGGCUCUCUUGUAAGAAGGGGUUUUGGUCCUAAUGUACUGAGGGGUCCUAAGGGGACUGGGUCCACCUGCUCAGAGAUCUGCCUUAUCCCAGGGAUGGCAUCCAGUAGUCCACUGCCUUGUCCCUGUUCCUAUAGGAUGCUUCUGAAAAAAGCAUCCUUCCCUUCAAAAAUGGCCAGUUCCAGCUAGUGCAAGGGCAUCUCUUCAAAUGAAAUAAUAAGAAGGGAUUGAGCUGGUGGUCCUAUUCCUUGGUUAAGAUAGGGUCUCAUCUUAAUAACUACUGCAAAAUUGUAUGAAGUGCUCUAGAGGGAUGCAUCAAAUUACCUAUCAGAGGCAUUUCAAGACAAAUCAGGUAAAACCAGGCUGGGAUCACAAUGCACAUCCAAGGGAAAUUCACUGGACAUCAUUUUUCAUGUGAUGGGUGCUCUUCCUCUUUCCUUGUACCCCUCCAAGGGAUGUGCUUUUUUGAAGGGAAGUCAUCAAAGUUGUCAUAGUGAAGCAGAGAGCCAGACCCAUAUCUUUUCCUUUUCUCCAGGUCCUGUCGUGCGAGGCCAACUCUCCAGGCAACUCUCCAGGCACUUCAGCCUCCCAGGUAGCUCUUGGCUCAGUCUGCCUGUUCCCCAGCCUUCAGAAACAGAGCAGAGCCCUAAAAAACACAUGUCUUCUUCUGAGCCCAUCCUGGACCUCAAGACAGACACAACAGAAGUACUUCCAGCCUGCAGUGACCCUGAGGAGCCCAGACCAGACCCAGGGAUGAGGCAGGACCCCGCCAGCUCCCUGUGUGUGUGCGAUGCUGCAGCCUCCAGCACCAGCAGUCACAGCGAGCCCAGUCCUGCUCCAUCCACAGGAGAGAGCAUCUCGGGCAGAGACACCAAGUCAGAGCAGGGGAACCCCAGCCCUGCAGACUCCAUGCCAUGUCCAGAAGCCCCUGAAGAGUGCCCGGCUCGCCCCAACACCCUGGACUUGUCCAAGUCGCUGAAGAAGCUGGAGGAAGUGAAGCAGAUGGGGCAGAGGCGUAACAGUGACCACACGGCGGUGAAGGAGAACGGGGUUGGGAGCAGCCCUGCGGCCGCAGCGGUGAGCGAGGAGAGGAAGGCGCUGGAGUCCGAGCUGGGGAAGUGCAUCGAGGACUUCCGAAAGAUCAAGAUCCCUCAUGCCUUUCCCAAUAAGAAACGGCAGUGGCAAAGCGAGCUGCUGAGGAAAUAUCAGUUGUGAGGGGUGCGGUGAGGCUCUCUGGGGGUAACCCCAGCCGUUGGGUGGCACAGGGCAUCAGCACACCUGGGGUGAGGAGUAUAGGCUGCUCCUUCAACAAGUGUUGCAAGCCGAAAACUAGGGCAGCAUGCUCCUUACCAUGGCAGAAGGGAUGCAUGCUGUCCCAGACAUUAUGAACAUGGGUGAAGGGACAUAACAAAGGCAAGGGGGCCCAGGGAGAAUCACCAGGGGAAAAGCUACUGUCCAGCAGGAGCUCUCAUCUUUGUGCGAAUUUUCCUGGUGUUUCAAGUAAUAAAAUAUAGUUGAUGUCAAAAAGGAAUUCAAAUCUCCCCAUCUCUUUGGCGAACAUGUUUAGUUCAUCUGCUCAAAGCUGUACAAGUGGUUUAGAUGUUCCAUUUCCUUUAAAUUAAUGGAAGUUCCGUAUCUGACUCCUUUCUGUUCUUGGCAAAACUUCCCCAUCUGUAAUAUCUGCAACUGGAGAGCUGGGAUUCAACAAAACCUUCUUUUCCUGAGAGGUCAUGAUGUUUUGCAGACAUUUUCCUGUUUUUACACAAAUCCUUGAACACUGCCCAGCCUCACACUUGGAGCUCCAGCCAAAAAUGAGUAAAUGAGAGGGGGAGUGCAUCUCCUGCAGAGCCAUGGUCAGACCAAUCAGAAUCAAGUCCCCAUCAUUCUGGCCAGUUCUUGGCUACUCCUUGUGCUCCUUGUGCUCCAGGUGCUGUUGGAUGGCUGAACUCAACCUCAAAAGGAGAAUGGAAGAAGCUCAGCUAUGUGGGGCUCUUCUGCCAGAUGGGAUUGGAUAAGAGCUUGUGGAUAAGAACAAAGAAGGGGCCAGGCUGGGUGGCUUUCGGUGGGGGAAUGUCACAGCUACCCAGCAGGGAGGAUGAUGGUUGGAAAGCAAGUGGUCCUGGAGAUUUCAGGAGGACUUCAUGGAUGUUCUUGUGAUGGAGGUGCUGGAUUGGCCAAGUGGAUGCACAGCUGGAUCUGCUGCCCACUAACAGAGUAGACACCAGAUGUGGCUGUGGUAGUCAAUGGCACAUUUGGCCCUAGUGAUCAGAAACAGUGAAUUUCAAGAUCCUGAGAGGAGCAGGGAAGAUGAGCAGCAGAACACAGACUCUGGCUGCCCUGAGGUUUCACUGGUCCCCAACAGAAUCCCAAGGUCAGUCUCCCCCUUUCUGGACCCAUAGAAGCUCGGAGAGUCACCUCCCGCCCCAGCUGCAGUCUUCAAACCUCCCACUGAUAAAGGAUAAGGGAGGAACCCCCAGUAGCAAGCACACUGCAGGGCAUGCAGGGCAGCCCUCCCACCCCAGCAAAAGCCACAGAAGAAUUUAAGAAUUUCAGUGUUUUUGUUUAGUCUUGUUUUUUGUUUUUUGAUUUUUUUUUUUUAAUGAAACAAAACCAACUCAAUUAAAAGCUCAAUGAGUGUUUGUUGAGGUUUUGUUGGGCUGAAUUGCUUGACCUUUUGGGGAAUGGACGUGGAGGCUGGAUCCACAUUCUUCUUCCUUUUAUAUACAGACACACGAUGAUAGUGUUUACAGGAACUUGUAGAGACAGAGAGGUACAAACUGUCUUGGGGAAACCACCACGUGCUGGGCUUCAAAGAUUUCUGGGACCUCUAGACUUGCAAGUGGUGAACACGAGCUGAUGGGUGAGCUUCUGGGGAGCUUUGGGUAUUCUUCCUAUGGAUGGAGCAGGGUUUGCCAGCCCCACACCAGUGGAUCCCAGCAGAACUUUUGUGUGUCCUCAAAAGCCACACCCUGGGGCAUAUUUACCCCUAGUUAAGUAUUGGCAGGAAUCAUUCUUCUGGAUAUUGUGCAACCAGGUGGACUAGGGCUUUACAGUUAUGUUUUACAUAACCAGCUCUAUUUUUAACUUAAUCUCCAGUUAAUUAGAAAGUGGACUUUGCUGGAGCUGUAAUUAGAGUUCACAUUUCCGCAUUACUUUCCAUCCCAAAGGUCUCAGGAAGGUGUAUAUAUCCCACUGUGUCUGCCCCAUUCACUUCACUGAAAAAAAACAGAGUUCACUCACAGCAUCCAAAAAUACCAAGAGGUCAGUGAGCACAGUUGCACAUCGUGCUCAUACACAACUACAGCUGAAAUACGUAACAGAAUUAGAAAGCAAAAAUUAGUUAUGCAGGAGUGCCAGAAAAUAAUGAAAACAAAAUGUGUGUAAGGAGACAAUGUAAAGAAACAGUAAAUUAUUAAUAGUGUCAUUACACUGCUGGGUUAAACAAUUAGAUCCAGCAGGCAAUUCCUCUAUAGGAGGCAUCGGCAAUCAACCCAUGAAAGUCCAAUUUGCAUUUUCUCCCCCUUAAUUGUUUUGCAGUUCUCAGCUGGAAGUGUGCACUCCAAACAAAAACGGCUUGGGGCUUUUUAGGGAAAACCUGCAAGCUGUCGGGGAAUUGAAGCUCUACGGUGUUUCACAAUGUUCACUCUGCAUCUCUCUGAGUACAGCAGCUCAGAAAGGCUCAGAAGGGGAAACAGGGAGCUGUGAGAUUGUGCUGAGCUGUGGGCCCAGGGGAAGACACCACUCAGAGGGAUGCCCACCUCCCCCGUAGCCCUGUUAUAUCCCAAUUCUGCCUGGAAACAACCCAUUUCCCAAGGAGUGAAAGAAGAGCUGCAUGGCCCACGGUGGAAAGGAUGCCUGGGAAACAAGAAGGGUCAGAGAUGUUUAUACCCACUGCACACACAGCAUCACAGAGCGUUUGUAAGCAAAGUGACUCACUCCUGUUUCUCCUUCAGUAUUUGUCCCUCUUUAUUCAAGAUGGUUUGGUUUGAGAAAUCCACUUUCAUUUGUCUUCAUGUCAUAGGAAAUUCACAGUUUCUCUGUGCUCUGCUCCACAAGGCAAGAGGACACAAGGCCCAUUUUCUACCAGAUACCACAGUCCUUAAUAUCUGUGGGGGCAACAGUGAGUUUACAUUCAUCAGGGGAAAAGCCCGACUUGCCCUGUUCCCUGGCUGUGGGAAUGGAGCCCUGUUGCAGUGGAGCUGCUGGAAGCACUGAGAUGCCACCAUCCAUGCCGUGACCGUCCCUGCCGGUGGUGGCACAUCAGGAUUGCUGCCAAGAGAACCAAUGAUGCAGCUUCUCCUCUCUAUUUACUUUCCACAAAUGCCUCAGAUCUGCCUGAGCAGCAGGAAGCCAUUCAUUACCCAAUGACAGCAUUCCACAGGCAUCCCUUAAUUGAAUGCCAUUAUCCCUUAAUUAAUUAAAUACCAAUUAAUUACCAGGAACAUUGCAUGACAUGUAACAAAUGCCACCAGCUAGUUGAGACAGAAUAAUUUAAAACCUGGGAAGCGUGGCCCAAAUAAUAAUGAUCAGAAUUGGUCCAGCAAAGAAAACACAAGGAUCUGAGCACAAAGUCCUUCUGGGUGGGUUGGGAUCAGACUGGUGAUGUGGGCAAAGUCCUUCAAACCAGAAUCAGGCUGUGAAACUGGAGGGUUUUGCUGUUCCACCGGGUUUCAUCUGUGGGUUCAUAGGGAUCUCCUACUACUGAUGUUGAUUCAGUAGAAUUGAAUGGGCACACGGUAGUGAAAUAAGUGGUUAGUAGUACCCAGUAGUAAACCUCACAUUAGUUGUGAGGCAUUUGUAGUUAGCAGGAUUUUCAUAGGGAAAUGCAACAUUUCAUUUUUUCUUUCCAAUAUGGAGCACAUGGAGAAGUCCAUUUUCUUCUCAUGGAGGAGAAACUACGGUUUUUAGCAGUGACCUCACAAGGAAGUACGGAGAUGGGCACAGAAGGCACAUGGGUUGCUGCCAUUCCCAAGCUGCAGUCAACAAGGCCAGGUUCUUUGCACUGUACCACAUGAAGUACCCUCCAGCAUCACUGGAUUUAUGACUGGAGUCAUGCCCCAUGCAAGGAAACCCACCUCUUUGCUCUUUUCUUGGCUGUAAAGUCAGAGCUAUUUCCAAUCAGAAGCAUUUCAUCUGGCCACCAGCCAAGGAUGCUCUCCCAAGCAGUGCUUCAGGGCAGCAGUGUGCUCCCAGGCUGGGGAGAGGAACUCAGCUCACAAGCAAGGUGCUUGCAGGUUACAGAGAUACACGAGCAGGAAUUGGAUUCAAUUUAGCACAAGCCUUGGGAAUGCCCUUCAGAAAGCACUGCAGUGAACAACUCGGCUUUGCAGAAGCGAUGCAGAAAUUUGCCAGGCUGCCUCAGUAACUCAGGUGUGUGUAAUGUUACGUAAACCAAUGUAAUGAGCUGCCAAAUUGCCCAUGGAGAUGGGUAUUGUAGAGUGAGCUGCCAUGGUGGCCUCUCGGCAUCCCCACAGCUCUCAGUGCUGGAGCUGCUGCGGUCUCUGUAAGGCUGAGCUUGGAGAAAUUGGGGAUCAAUAACUGAGUACACUGUAAUUCAGUCCUUGCUAAGAAUUUUCCAAACCUUUUUCCCAUCCCAAAUCUUCCAAAAAGCCACUUCAAAUGCAGCCCCACCAGUGCUGCCAGGCCCAUAACCACAGCAAUGUGUUCAGAACUUUGGGAGCUCAGAAAUGCCCAAUUUCACUUCAGGCACUGCAGUAUCUGAUCAAAUAACUCACUGAGCAACCAGCAAGAAGAAAAGAAGCUUGCUUCAGCGUAACACAUAGCAUGAUUUAAUUGAUAUAAUGAUGCUGAUGCUGUACCAAAGGAACAUCGCUGCCUGAGUUAUGUCACAUAAACUCAUUUUUCCUCUUCUGCAAUUAAAAUGAUCUAUGUCUCUUUUCCAAGCACAAGGAGAUUAAAAUAGGGAUCAAUUAACUUACCAGAAACCAUAAAUCAGCCAGAAGACAAUCUUGUACAGGAGGAAAAGCCCAGGUUUCACCCAUUGGAGAGAGACAUGGGCAGGAUCCACGCUCAACGAUGGAUGGGCCUCAUAGGCAGAGCAGGGGAGAGUGAUCAUUUUCUGCUCAGCUGAGACUGAAUCACUCAGCUCUGGUUAUACUAACACCUAGAAAACCCAAUGGGACUUUGCUACACAAGGAGAACAUAUUACAGUCUAUAACUAACCCCAUCAGUUACAGGCAGCAGCAGCCCUAACACUGCGGGGAAAUUAAGCUGCUCCUCUGUUUAAUGCUUUUUGCCAUGCUCUUUUAUUAGAGACAACAGCUCAGGUCUUCUGGGACCCACUUCACCCAUGGUCAAUGCUUUCAUCUAUUUCUGAUGCUGGGUUUUGUUCCAACAUGUGGGUUUUUCCUCGAGGUUACAUAUAGAUUCCCCAAUCCCCCAGAACCAUGGGAGCACCUUGCAGAAAGCCACUGGGAGAGGGGAAAACCAAAGAAGUCUUCAGCUACCUCCGUUCUGCAUCACUGGAGCCAAACACGAUGUGAAAUCAAACAGUUUGGGUUUGACCUUAUCGUUUCUUUCACUGACUUGAAGCUUUACGUUGCAAUAAAGUACGAGAUUAAUACCCAUUGGCUGGAUUGUGAUAAAAUUUUAGCAUAAUGCUGCACUAUCACACAGAUACGGCAAUAUAACACCCAGAUGGCUGGCAGCUUUUGUCUUUCCUGAGAUGCAGCAUCCCUCUUCCUUUCCCUUAGUUGUGUUGUGGUGCAAGAUGGGCUGAGGACCGGUGGGACAAAGUGGCCUGGGGGCUGCUAGCCCUCCCCACCUUCAGUCCCCAGCAGAAGCAGAGCUGGGAGCACAGCCAGCAGCAAGAGAGGGAAUGCAGCAGUGCUCUCCAAGCAUCCCAGAGAAAGAUUUAUAGGGAAGAUGUACUGCUUACUUCUCACAUGCUGAUACGGCCCCUAUAAAAGCCUGGCUGGCAGGUAUUAGCACAGAGCUUAACGCACAUACAAAGCAGAUGUGUGUCAGUGGGACCCACGGAGCAAUACCCGGUGCUUUUCUACUGGCUCUGCAAAAAACAUGCAGAAGUAUUUGUGGUGGUUUUCUGGCCAAGCUGCAAGGUUACAACAGGCUUGCUUUAAGCUGAGAAAACCGCAGACAAAUUAGGACCAACAAAAGGAAAGACAAGAAUAAAAAGAUUUUUCUGUGCCGUCUUACAGACACAUCUGCCCCAGUCAUGGCUUAGAAAAAUCAGAUUAAACAGUCAGCCCAGGGAGGAGGCAGCUAGGGGCAAAGGGGAGGAGCACUGUCCCUUUAACAUUUCAACAAGCAUCCCAGAGGAGGCAGACACAGUAAAUAUCUCCCUUGUUAGUAAGGAGUACUUAGAGGAAUGCUUUUAUUGCCAGGCGACAUUUUGGACUCCAGCACUACGGGUGACUGCCACUCAACAGCGUUUUUUUCCCCCUUUUUGCACAGCAAAUUUUACCUGGAUUUUCUCCAGCAAGCGACUGGGAGCGGGGCAGGGCAUGCUGUCAGGGGAGCAGUCACACACUGCUGUGCAUUGAGUCCCCAGCUGACAGAAAUUAAUUUAUUUUUCUUGCAACUAAAUAGCUUCUGUGGCUUCACCUCAAUCAAUAGUUACUUCUUGGGUCAGUAGAUCACAAUUACCACUUUGAAGGAAGGUUCGGUUCCUAUUUAUGCUUUCUGCUCUCUCCCUGGGGAGAAGUUCACCCAGGAAGUGAUGAGUUCAUAAGGCCCCAAAAUCUUCCUGAAAUGCCUUGGAAAGACCCUCUCCAUUACUAACAUACAAACCAUGCAAACAUAUCUGUUUUGAUAUUUGAUCAACUAAAAGGAGAGAUUUUGCAAAACAAACUCCAAAGCUGCCCGGUGAAUGCUGGAACUCUCAGAAACUCUCAGAGUCACAGCUCUGCCCCAGGAGCAGCCCCCACAUACUGGAACUGGGGGCUGCUCCCAGUGCUCUGCGUGGAGCAGGUGGUGGAGACUGAACAAAGCAGAGCCCCGUGGAGAAACCUUUGGGCAGCUGGGAGAAGACAGAGAAGGUUUUCUGUAAGGGAAUAGAGGUGGGUUUUCCUGCAGGAAUGACCCAGUUAGAGAGAAAGCAGAUGUGGGAAGACCAACACCAGGAGGGUGCAGGGGUUGUGCUGGCAGGUAUGGUCACAGGAUGCUUCAAAUGUCAAAUGGGCAGUGGGGAAUGGAGAUGGGCAAGAGGAGGGCCUGGAGAACACAGGGGAUGGGGACCAUGGAGUGGUUGGAUGUGUGACAUCACCUGGGGCAGCAGAGAGAGCAUCAGGCUGAAGCAGUGCCCCAUCACCCAAAGGAGAUUGGUAAGGACAUCAUGGAACGUUCAGCCCAGCUGGAAGCCUCACACAGAGGGACUCCAUCCCAUUAAGCUCUCUUUAUCAGCUCAGCCCUUCAGCAAUGCUUGCACAGAGCAGGCGAGCAGCAGAGCCAUUAAUCUUCACAGCCCACUCUUGGGAAGCCGUUCACAGUGAGCGCUGCAAAUCUCUUUAGUGGGUGAUGGGAGCUGCUGGGGGCUGUAGCGCGGGGGACAGUGCGAGGACCCACAUUGCACGGGGCAGCACCACCCAAGCACAGGGAAACACGAGCAUGUUUUCAUAGCAUUUCUUCUGACCACAGAGGAAUGCCUUUGAAACCAAAAGCUCCGGAAAAGGCAGUGCUCAGGAAAUGGCGUGGGCACGAUGUUGUUGAACUUGUGUGUUUGUAACAAUGGAGCCCUGCUGAGCACAGGGAAGGGGAAGGUCUCUGUUCCUGACCUUUCAGAUACCAACCACAACCUGGAGCAAAAGAAAAUGAAGCAGAGAACACUGUGAGAAAUGAUUUUUUAAACCAUGAUUUCCACCCCACAUAAGGAGGAUAUGUAAAUCAGAGAAUACAUCUUCUCACUGUAGCUAUCAACAUGAGCAGCAGGGAAAAAAUUCUAAAAGAGCAGAACAGCUCGUCUCAGAACAGAUAUACGCAGCAGCAGAAAAACAAUAGGAUCUGUAAGGCCAGGUCAGGUCUCCCCUGGCCUCUCUCAGCUGGGGAAAUCCUGGGUGUGGUGCUGCCCAGGGUCAUAGCAGUGUGGCCUGAAGAUAGCAGCAAAGUGAGGGGCCAUGGUUUGCAGAAGGGCUGGGGAAUUCAGGGCUGUGUUUCUGGGAUACAGGACGUGUGCCUGGCUCAGAACCUGUUAUUCCUUCUUAUUCCUUCUCCCCACGCAUUUUCACAAAGCUGCCAGCAUCUGGGAAAUAGAAAUCCAAACGGCUGAUGCUUUGCAGCCCUGGCUCUUUAAAUAGUGUACGAAGAAGAGAGAGGCUUUACAUGAUUACUUAUUUUAUAGGUAUUUAAAGAACAGAAACACUCCCUCCAUACAUUGAGUAUCACCCACCUCUAAAACAAAGUGCCAUGUCUCUGCUGAGAGGCUGCAGGGCUGAACUGAGGGAGACCUAUCCCCAUCCUUUGGUUUUCAGCUUCUCCUGGCUAAAUCUCACAGCUGGAUCUGAUCCUGAUGGGAGGAUUGUGCUGUUGGGACUUGAGUGCUAAAGAUGCCAACAGAAGGGCACCAUCCUCUUCUGGUACUUUGUGCUGAAUCUGCCCCAUUCUUUGGUGUCCUGUCCCUUGGGAAGAUGUGCAGCUCCCUCCAAACAUGUGCAGGAAGGAAUUGUAGAGUCAUAGAAUCAGAGAAUCAUAGAAUCAUUAAGGUUGGAAAAGACCUCUAAGACCAUCUGGUCCAAUUGUUGACCCAUCUUCACCAUGAUCACUAAACCACAUCCCUCAGUGCCACCUCUCCACAUUUCUUGAACUCCUCC